Molecule: ribosomal RNA, 434 nt
Filed under: uncultured Microvirga sp.
Lineage: Bacteria; Pseudomonadati; Pseudomonadota; Alphaproteobacteria; Hyphomicrobiales; Methylobacteriaceae
Description: bacterial SSU rRNA
Rfam family: Bacterial small subunit ribosomal RNA
Source: RNAcentral
ACGGGAGGCAGCAGUGGGGAAUAUUGGACAAUGGGCGCAAGCCUGAUCCAGCCAUGCCGCGUGAGUGAUGAAGGCCUUAGGGUUGUAAAGCUCUUUCGUCCGGGACGAUAAUGACGGUACCGGAAGAAGAAGCCCCGGCUAACUUCGUGCCAGCAGCCGCGGUAAUACGAAGGGGGCUAGCGUUGUUCGGAAUCACUGGGCGUAAAGGGCGCGUAGGCGGCUUUGUAAGUCGGGGGUGAAAGCCUGUGGCUCAACCACAGAAUUGCCUUCGAUACUGCAUGGCUUGAGACCGGAAGAGGUUAGUGGAACUGCGAGUGUAGAGGUGAAAUUCGUAGAUAUUCGCAAGAACACCAGUGGCGAAGGCGGCUGACUGGUCCGGUUCUGACGCUGAGGCGCGAAAGCGUGGGGAGCAAACAGGAUUAGAUACCCUGGUA